This 71-nucleotide microRNA precursor is filed under the name Canis lupus familiaris (dog). RNAcentral describes it as "Cfa-Novel-11_pre stem-loop". Lineage: Eukaryota; Metazoa; Chordata; Mammalia; Carnivora; Canidae. The record is from RNAcentral.
UGCCGGGAAACUACAGGACCGAAGCAUCAUGUCCUCAUUCUGCAACAUGCCUCCUGGGUUUUCUUUGGCAG